RNAcentral lists this transfer RNA (80 nucleotides) under Bacillus toyonensis. RNAcentral's name for it is "tRNA-Phe". It matches the Rfam family "tRNA". From Rfam's summary of the family: Transfer RNA (tRNA) molecules are approximately 80 nucleotides in length. The record is from RNAcentral. Lineage: Bacteria; Bacillati; Bacillota; Bacilli; Caryophanales; Bacillaceae.
GGCUCGGUAGCUCAGUCGGUAGAGCAGAGGACUGAAAAUCCUCGUGUCGGCGGUUCGNUCGAAUCCCGUACGGGUCACCA